This 410-nucleotide ribosomal RNA is filed under the name uncultured archaeon. Its description in RNAcentral is "bacterial SSU rRNA". It matches the Rfam family "Archaeal small subunit ribosomal RNA", at positions 887 to 1289 of the family's 1478-position model. The record is from RNAcentral.
GGGUGGAGCCUGCGGUUUAAUCGGACUCAACGCCGGAAAUCUCACCGGAUAAGACAGCUGAAUGAUAGUCGGGAUGAAGACUCUACUUGACUAGCUGAGAGGAGGUGCAUGGCCGUCGUCAGUUCGUACUGUGAAGCAUCCUGUUUAGUCAGGCAACGAGCGAGACCCACGCGAGCAGUUGCCAGCUUGACCUUCGGGUUGAUGGGGACACUGCUGGGACCGCCUCUGCUAAAGGGGAGGAAGGAAUGGGCAACGGUAGGUCAGCAUGCCCCGAAUUAUCCGGGCUACACGCGGGCUACAAUGGACAGGACAAUGGGUUUCGACACCGAGAGGUGAGGAUAAUCUCCUAAACCUGUCUGAAGUUCGGAUUGCGCGUGUAGCUCAUACCGUCGCGAGGGCUCACACCGGCC